AAACGACUCUCGGCAACGGAUAUCCCGGCUCUCGCAUCGAUGAAGAACGUAGCGAAAUGCGAUACUUGGUGUGAAUUGCAGAAUCCCGUGAACCAUCGAGUCUUUGAACGCAAGUUGCGCCCGAAGCCACUAGGCUGAGGGCACGUCUGCCUGGGUGUCACGC
Molecule: ribosomal RNA, 163 nt
Filed under: Torilis japonica
Lineage: Eukaryota; Viridiplantae; Streptophyta; Magnoliopsida; Apiales; Apiaceae
Also listed under: 1 other name
Description: 5.8S ribosomal RNA
Rfam family: 5.8S ribosomal RNA
About the family: 5.8S ribosomal RNA (5.8S rRNA) is a component of the large subunit of the eukaryotic ribosome. It is transcribed by RNA polymerase I as part of the 45S precursor that also contains 18S and 28S rRNA.
Source: RNAcentral